UACGUAGGGACCAAGCGUUGUUCGGAAUUACUGGGCGUAAAGGGCGCGUAGGCGGCCAACUAAGUCAGACGUGAAAUCCCUCGGCUCAACCGGGGAACUGCGUCUGAUACUGGAUGGCUUGAAUUCGGGAGAGGGAUGCGGAAUUCCAGGUGUAGCGGUGAAAUGCGUAGAUAUCUGGAGGAACACCGGUGGCGAAGGCGGCAUCCUGGACCGAGAUUGACGCUGAUGCGCGAAAGCCAGGGGAGCAAACGGG
Molecule: ribosomal RNA, 253 nt
Filed under: uncultured bacterium
Lineage: Bacteria
Description: partial 16S ribosomal RNA
Rfam family: Bacterial small subunit ribosomal RNA
Source: RNAcentral